CAUUCAAGACCAAUCCCUCCCAGGAAAUGAGAUGGAGGGACUGCUGGAGAACACUGCAGUGUGCAGUUCCUCAGGGCACAAGGCUACAAAACACAUUCUAUCUCUAGCUCUAUAUCCAUAUAGACUGAGAGAUGGCCAAGGGGACCGACAGACAGGAGGACUGAGAGACAGAGACCUUCGUCAAAGGUGUCCACCCUAGAAAAUCGGAACAAGUGGUUGCUGGCAAGCAAAGCAUGUGAUGGUGUCCCAGUUGGGUUCAGAUGGCUCAGAAGAUGUAUUUGGUUCAAGAUUGGAUGGGGAGUGGCAGACCUCCACUUUGGCCAGUGAGCUGUCCACCCUAGAAAAUCAGAACAAGUGGUUGCUGGCAAGCAAAGCAUAUGAUGGUGUCCCUGUGAUGUUCAGGUGGCUCAGAAGAUGUAUUUGGUUCAAGAUUGGAGGGGGAGUGGCAGACCUCUACUUUGGCCAGUGAGGUGAGUGGCUGUGGCAGACUGCAUGAUGCGUCCAAACCCUUUUUCUUUGACUCUUCCAUGAGGCGCUGGAAGUCUUGAAUAGGAAAGCAAGGAAUCAAUAGCUCAGAGGCUAAGCUCUGAGCAUUACUUCAUAGGGAUCUUAACCUGUUGUCCUGACAUUUCCCAAAAAGGAGCAUUUACUAAAGAAGAAUGGCAUUUGCUCGGGCAGGCUAUGAAACAAAGUGAGGCAAAAGGACAUAGAGUGUUAGCCGCCAUUGAGGUCCCAUGCACUCUAGUGAGGAUACUGCACAAACUGUGGAGAGUUGAGCUGUUCCUCACCUGCAGCCCCACCUUUCACUGCUUCUACUCACUCUUCUUUACCCUUUGAAUCAGAUGGCCAAGGAGAUAGACCCCUUCCAUUAUGCUGCAGAUGCCAAGAACCAGCCCCAUGGCCUGGGGCAAGCCUCCUGCCCAAAUCCCUUGUUUCUGUCCUCACUGCUGUCAAAUGAUAGCUAAACCCCAGCAUGGAGGCAUGCUGUCCUCCCAAGGAGCAGAUUUUGCUCGCAAGCUCUCCCAACUUGGCUGCCUCCUGACCACAGUCAACAUGACUUUCACAUCAAUAAAAUGUCCCCUUUUCUUUUGAAGCCA
RNAcentral lists this long non-coding RNA (1097 nucleotides) under Monodelphis domestica (gray short-tailed opossum). RNAcentral's name for it is "lncRNA (ENSMODG00000051114.1)". Lineage: Eukaryota; Metazoa; Chordata; Mammalia; Didelphimorphia; Didelphidae. The record is from RNAcentral.